RNAcentral lists this ribosomal RNA (394 nucleotides) under uncultured Glomeromycotina. Its description in RNAcentral is "SSU rRNA". It matches the Rfam family "Eukaryotic small subunit ribosomal RNA", at positions 569 to 969 of the family's 1831-position model. The record is from RNAcentral. Lineage: Eukaryota; Fungi; Glomeromycota.
AGCAGCCGCGGUAAUUCCAGCUCCAAUAGCGUAUAUUAAAGUUGUUGCAGUUAAAAAGCUCGUAGUUGAAUUUCGGGACCAAUAUGUCGGUCGUACUUUGUACGUACUGGCAUUAUUGGUUUCUCCCUUCUGAAGAACCGCGAUGUCAUUAAUUUGGUGUCGUGGGGAAUCAGGACUGUUACUUUGAAAAAAUUAGAGUGUUUAAAGCAGGCUCGCGCUUGAAUACAUUAGCAUGGAAUGAUGAAAUAGGACGUUUGAUUCUAUUUUGUUGGUUUCUAGGAUCGACGUAAUGAUUAAUAGGGAUAGUUGGGGGCAUUAGUAUUCAAUUGUCAGAGGUGAAAUUCUUGGAUUUAUUGAAGACUAACUACUGCGAAAGCAUUUGCCAAGGAUGUUU